Molecule: long non-coding RNA, 279 nt
Filed under: Pan troglodytes (chimpanzee)
Lineage: Eukaryota; Metazoa; Chordata; Mammalia; Primates; Hominidae
Description: long non-coding RNA NONPTRT013762
Source: RNAcentral
UGUGGGGGUGACGCGGCAUGGGGACAGAGCCAACAACUGCUAGCCACCAUGGCUGGGAGGGAGCCACGGGACAAUGGACUUCCUGCAGGAAGGCAAGAGUUGAAGCAGGGGACCCAUGAGGAAACCACUGCGCUGGCCCAGGUGAGAGCUGAAGGGCCCCUGCCUGUGCUGGUAUGGAUGGAGACAGAGGAUUUGCAGGUAAGCCCAGCAGGACUUGCUGGGGGACCGAGGGUGGAGGACAAGGAAAAGGGGACUCAAGGAUGACUCCCAGAGUCUGAU